GGGGAACUUUGAAAAAAGGUUUAAAA
This 26-nucleotide unclassified non-coding RNA is filed under the name Dictyostelium discoideum. The record is from RNAcentral. Lineage: Eukaryota; Evosea; Eumycetozoa; Dictyosteliales; Dictyosteliaceae.